AUUGAACGCUGGCGGCAGGCCUAACACAUGCAAGUCGAGCGGAUGAAGGGAGCUUGCUCCUGGAUUCAGCGGCGGACGGGUGAGUAAUGCCUAGGAAUCUGCCUGGUAGUGGGGGAUAACGUCCGGAAACGGGCGCUAAUACCGCAUACGUCCUGAGGGAGAAAGUGGGGGAUCUUCGGACAUCACGCUAUCAGAUGAGCCUAGGUCGGAUUAGCUAGUUGGUGGGGUAAAGGCCUACCAAGGCGACGAUCCGUAACUGGUCUGAGAGGAUGAUCAGUCACACUGGAACUGAGACACGGUCCAGACUCCUACGGGAGGCAGCAGUGGGGAAUAUUGGGCAAUGGGCGAAAGCCUGAUCCAGCCAUGCCGCGUGUGUGAAGAAGGUCUUCGGAUUGUAAAGCACUUUAAGUUGGGAGGAAGGGCAGUAAGUUAAUACCUUGCUGUUUUGACGUUACCAACAGAAUAAGCACCGGCUAACUUCGUG
This 484-nucleotide ribosomal RNA is filed under the name uncultured bacterium. RNAcentral describes it as "partial 16S ribosomal RNA". It matches the Rfam family "Bacterial small subunit ribosomal RNA", at positions 30 to 507 of the family's 1533-position model. The record is from RNAcentral.